AUUGAACGCUGGCGGCAUGCCUUACACAUGCAAGUCGAACGGUAACAGGUCUUCGGAUGCUGACGGAGUGGCGAACGGGUGAGUAAUACAUCGGAACGUGCCCGAUCGUGGGGGAUAACGAAGCGAAAGCUUUGCUAAUACCGCAUAAGAUCUAAGGAUGAAAGCAGGGGACCGCAAGGCCUUGCGCGAACGGAGCGGCCGAUGGCAGAUUAGGUAGUUGGUGGGAUAAAAGCUUACCAAGCCGACGAUCUGUAGCUGGUCUGAGAGGACGACCAGCCACACUGGGACUGAGACACGGCCCCAGACUCCUACGGGAGGCAGCAGUGGGGAAUUUUGGACAAUGGGCGCAAGCCUGAUCCAGCCAUGCCGCGUGCAGGAUGAAGGCCUUCGGGUUGUAAACUGCUUUUGUACGGAACGAAAAGACUCUGGUUAAUACCUGGGGUUCAUGACGGUACCGUAAGAAUAAGCACCGGCUAACUACGUG
This 484-nucleotide ribosomal RNA is filed under the name uncultured bacterium. RNAcentral describes it as "bacterial SSU rRNA". It matches the Rfam family "Bacterial small subunit ribosomal RNA", at positions 30 to 507 of the family's 1533-position model. The record is from RNAcentral.